This 254-nucleotide ribosomal RNA is filed under the name uncultured bacterium. RNAcentral's name for it is "partial 16S ribosomal RNA". It matches the Rfam family "Bacterial small subunit ribosomal RNA", at positions 524 to 776 of the family's 1533-position model. The record is from RNAcentral.
UACGGGGGGAGCAAGCGUUGUUCGGAUUUACUGGGCGUAAAGGGCGCGUAGGCGGUCGUGACAAGUCACUUGUGAAAUCUCCGGGCUUAACUCGGAACGGCCAAGUGAAACUGUCAAGCUAGAGUGCAGAAGGGGCAAUCGGAAUUCUUGGUGUAGCGGUGAAAUGCGUAGAUAUCAAGAGGAACACCUGAGGUGAAGACGGGUUGCUGGGCUGACACUGACGCUGAGGCGCGAAAGCCAGGGGAGCAAACGGG